GACGAACGCUGGCGGCGUGCUUAACACAUGCAAGUCGAACGGAAAGGCCCCUUUGGGGGUACUCGAGUGGCGAACGGGUGAGUAAGACGUGAGUAACCUGCCCUUGACUUCGGGAUAGCUUCAGGUAACUGGGGCUAAUACCGGAUAGGAAUCCUUUCUUCAUGGUGGGGGUUGGAAAGCUUCGGCCGGUUUGGGUGGACUGGCUGGUUAACGGCUUGCUGGUGGGGUAGUGGCUUACCAAGGCUUUGUCGGGUAGCCGGCCUGAGUGGGCGACCGGCCACCUUGGGACUGAGGUACGGCCCAGACUCCUACGGGAGGCAGCAGUGGGGAAUAUUGCACAAUGGGCGGAAGGCUGAUGCAGCAACGCCGCGUGCGGGAUGACGGCCUUCGGGUUGUAAAACGCUUUCAGCAGGGGCGAAGCUUGUGGUGACGGUACCUGCUGAAGAAGCACCGGCUAACUACGUG
This 465-nucleotide ribosomal RNA is filed under the name uncultured bacterium. Its description in RNAcentral is "partial 16S ribosomal RNA". It matches the Rfam family "Bacterial small subunit ribosomal RNA", at positions 28 to 507 of the family's 1533-position model. The record is from RNAcentral.